RNAcentral lists this transfer RNA (148 nucleotides) under Fusarium solani. RNAcentral describes it as "tRNA-Ala". Lineage: Eukaryota; Fungi; Ascomycota; Sordariomycetes; Hypocreales; Nectriaceae. The record is from RNAcentral.
GGCCUGAUGGUCUAGUGGUAGUAGGUCAACUGUUCUCGCUUCAUGAGAAUCAUAAUUAACGAGUUUUCAGGGAUUUGCGUUUCGGGAUAACUCCCUGCUCUUUCAAAGAGAAUAUGCAAGGUCCCGGGUUCAAUCCCCGGUUAGGCCC